AACUAUAACGGUCCUAAGGUAGCGAAAUUCCUUGUCGGGUAAGUUCCGACCUGCACGAAUGGCGUAACGACUUCCCCACUGUCUCCAGCAUAGGCUCAGUGAAAUUGAAUUCCCCGUGAAGAUGCGGGGUUCCCGCGGUCAGACGGAAAGACCCUAUGAACCUUUACUAUAGCUUCGCCUUGGCGUUAGCGACCGUAUGUGUAGGAUAGGUGGGAGACUAUGAAGCCGGGGCGCCAGCCUUGGUGGAGUCGUCCUUGAAAUACCACCCUUACUGUCGUUGACGUCUAACCGAGGGCCGUUAUCCGGUCCCGGGACAUGGCGUGGUGGGUAGUUUGACUGGGGCGGUCGCCUCCCAAAGUGUAACGGAGGCGCGCGAUGGUGAGCUCAGAGCGGUCGGAAAUCGCUCGUCGAGUGCAAUGGCAUAAGCUCGCCUGACUGCGAGACUGACAAGUCGAGCAGAGACGAAAGUCGGCCAUAGUGAUCCGGUGGUCCCGAGUGGAAGGGCCAUCGCUCAACGGAUAAAAGGUACUCUAGGGAUAACAGGCUGAUUUUGCCCAAGAGUCCAUAUCGACGGCAAAGUUUGGCACCUCGAUGUCGGCUCAUCACAUCCUGGGGCUGGAGCAGGUCCCAAGGGUAUGGCUGUUCGCCAUUUAAAGUGGUACGUGAGCUGGGUUCAGAACGUCGUGAGACAGUUUGGUCCCUAUCUGCCGUGGGUGUUCGAAGCUUGAGAGGAUCUGUCCCUAGUACGAGAGGACCGGGAUGGACAUACCUCUGGUGUACCUGUCAUGGCGCCAGCUGUGCAGCAGGGUAGCUAAGUAUGGAAUAGAUAACCGCUGAAAGCAUCUAAGCGGGAAACUAACCUCAAAACAAGGCUUCGCUGAGGAUCGUGGAAGACUACCACGUUGAUAGGCCAGGUGUGGAAGCGCGGCGACGCGUGAAGCUUACUGGUACUAAUAAUCCGAUCGGUUUGAUCGUUUCUCA
RNAcentral lists this ribosomal RNA (981 nucleotides) under Pseudomonas sp. ODNR1LW. RNAcentral's name for it is "partial 23S ribosomal RNA". It matches the Rfam family "Bacterial large subunit ribosomal RNA", at positions 1938 to 2925 of the family's 2925-position model. Lineage: Bacteria; Pseudomonadati; Pseudomonadota; Gammaproteobacteria; Pseudomonadales; Pseudomonadaceae. The record is from RNAcentral.